AUCUCCUGUCGGGCCAUUCUAUUACAGUUGCUAAUGCAACUCACCAUGCAGCUGGAGUGUGUGAUCUGAUUACUGCCUUCAGGAUUGUUGUGACUUCCCGUGUGCUUUUAGCUCUGUGGUUCAGCCACCAAACAAACCAUCCCUGCCAGAAGGUUGGUGCUUCUUUCAGAGGCUCUCCAAAAACACAUCUCCCUAGUUACCAGAGGAGAUGAGGUGAGAUCAUGGCAGCCUCACUGCACCUGGUGCUCUUUGCUCUCUGUCUUCCUGGGACUGCCAUGGGUAUUUCAUUCUGUUUAGAGUUCUUGUUCAAGAGUGGAAGACUGUUUAAUUUUGAAAUGCAUGAGAAAAAGGCCUCAAAGAUGUACUGUGGGUUGCAUUCCUCCCCUGGAACUCAGAGACGUGACUGAUGACAAUGAAUGGGACUUCCCAUUGUGACCUUCUGUCUCUCUGGCUUUGGAUACAAGCAGGGGUAAGGAUGCCAGCAGUGAUGGAAACUGAGCCAGCAGGUCUCACUGCCCACACUGACAGCAGCACCAUAAUAGGCUGAUACUAACAGGGACCAGCGACCCUCUUUCGUACAGAUGAACAGUCUCCAUUUUAAUCCUUAAAGUGCGUGGAUGAACCUCUGUUGUUACCAAGAACAGAAAACUUGAAAUCAUCCAGAACUCCUUAUGUUCACCACAACUGAAACAACUGCAGACAGCAAUGCUGAACUGUCAAGACAUAUUAUAGAAAAAAGCAAAGAUGAUACUUCUCCUUGGUAAACAGAGGUACAACAUUUCUCACGUGUCUUUCUGACUUCAGUUUUAAAAAGCAAAACAAACCAGCCCCAUGUAUGUUCUUCUUCGCUCAUUUUCAUCCCUUAAUCAGGACUGAUGCUCCAGGAUUUAGUGAUUUUUCAUGUUUUCUGUAAUCUGGUGUUUGAAUUGUUACUGUCAAUAAUUUGGAUUCCUGGAGAAAGCAGAAG
RNAcentral lists this long non-coding RNA (967 nucleotides) under Gallus gallus (chicken). RNAcentral describes it as "lncRNA (ENSGALG00010023675.1)". The record is from RNAcentral. Lineage: Eukaryota; Metazoa; Chordata; Aves; Galliformes; Phasianidae.